RNAcentral lists this ribosomal RNA (402 nucleotides) under bacterium. Its description in RNAcentral is "partial 16S ribosomal RNA". It matches the Rfam family "Bacterial small subunit ribosomal RNA", at positions 355 to 776 of the family's 1533-position model. The record is from RNAcentral.
UGGGGAAUUUUGCACAAUGGGGGAAACCCAGAUGCAGCGACGCCGCGUGAUUUAGAAGGCCUUCGGGUUGUAAACAUCUUUUCUAUGGGAAGAAAAUGACAGUACCAUAGGAAUAAGGACCGGCUAAUUACGUGCCAGCAGCCGCGGUAAUACGUAAGGUCCGAGCGUUGUCCGGAAUCAUUGGGCGUAAAGGGUACGUAGGCGGGUAAGCAAGUUAGAAGUGAAAUCCUAUAGCUCAACUAUAGUAAGCUUUUAAAACUGCUCAUCUUGAGGUAUGGAAGGGAAAGUGGAAUUCCUAGUGUAGCGGUGAAAUGCGCAGAUAUUAGGAGGAAUACCGGUGGCGAAGGCGACUUUCUGGCCAUAACCUGACGCUGAGGUACGAAAGCGUGGGUAGCAAACAGG